Long non-coding RNA from Rhodamnia argentea, 304 nucleotides. RefSeq lists it as uncharacterized. Lineage: Eukaryota; Viridiplantae; Streptophyta; Magnoliopsida; Myrtales; Myrtaceae. The record is from RefSeq and is a predicted model, not a curated record. The transcript has 2 exons.
ACGUGAUCACAAAAGCCAGCACAUAACCAGCAGUACAAGGAUUCGGCUAAAAAGAGAGAUUCAUAUGUAGAUUUCUGAAAUACGGGACAAGUUCUUCAGAUCAAAUGAUGCUUCUAGGCUUCUGAACGAGUUUCUGAGCACUUGGAGAAAAAUAGGAGGACUGGUCCUUCAGGAUAGAGCAAUCUUCUAGUGGCAAAAACAACGGUGAUAUUUACGCAAGAUAUUCGAGCUUUCUGGCAGGACUGUAUCAAUUUAGGUGUCGUGCAUGGAGUAGGACAAAAAGAAAAACUAGUUUUUGGCAUAG